GUACGGAGCCUGCUGCAACAGUGAGCCAGAGCCUGUUGCACCAGGGUUUAACCUUGGCCUGCUCCCUGCUUUCAGGAAGGGAAGGCCCUGGAAGGCCUUGAACCCUGCCACCUCCGCCCCUCCUGGGAUAAGGUUCCAACACCCCACGGAUGGGCCCAGGGCCCCCCUGCAACUUCUCCACCGCCGCCCACCGGUGCAACGUGGGUGGCCUACCGGCUGCAGUGAUCAUCAUCCCAACCCUGCUCUCCUCGUCGUCUCUCCUGAUCAUCAGCUUCAUCUUAUGGAAAACUUGCCGCCGGUUGUCCCGGGUCACCCAGCCCCGCCUGCCAUCCACAUGAGGGGCCCAGGUGCUGCUGGAUGUAAUCAUCAACUCCGCAGGUCAAGGAAGCCCAUUCAGCAGCCCCCGUAACUGUGGCUCUGGGUGACUAUGAGACCAACGCUGCCCUUACCACACUGCCCCCUUACCUUCCAGGGAUGCUCCCUGCCUGGUGGGGCCUCCACAGGGAACCUGACCAAGGAGCAGGAAGUCCUCCUCCGGGGACUGAAUGAGAAUGCUCCGAGUUUCACCCCAGCUGUGGCAUGGCUUAGCACAGUAUCCAAGGCUUGCAGUCCUUCAACCUUUCCACUUCUCAUAUCUCUAAACACUAGCACUGCCAGUGCUUUCCUGAGGUCAUGGUGUUUCAGCUUUUUCUAUGGUUCUUAGAGGAGAACAUAGCCCUUUAGCCCCUGGCAGGCAAGGCUUGGAUGGCACAGAAAUUUCCAGGAGACUCCUCGUCUACCACCUGAGACCUGGGAUUCAGAGGAGCAACAAAGUGAGGAAAUUGGGUCUCACACAGCUUAAUACAAAAG
Molecule: long non-coding RNA, 849 nt
Organism: Bos taurus (domestic cattle)
Lineage: Eukaryota; Metazoa; Chordata; Mammalia; Artiodactyla; Bovidae
Source: Ensembl